GCGGACGUGGCGAAAUUGGCAGACGCGCAAGUUUCAGGUUCUUGUGGGCAACCAUGGGGGUUCAAGUCCCUUCGUCCGCACCA
RNAcentral lists this transfer RNA (83 nucleotides) under Clostridia bacterium. Its description in RNAcentral is "tRNA-Leu". It matches the Rfam family "tRNA". Rfam says of the family: Transfer RNA (tRNA) molecules are approximately 80 nucleotides in length. Their secondary structure includes four short double-helical elements and three loops (D, anti-codon, and T loops). The record is from RNAcentral. Lineage: Bacteria; Bacillati; Bacillota; Clostridia.